This 5490-nucleotide ribosomal RNA is filed under the name Triticum aestivum (bread wheat). RNAcentral's name for it is "partial small subunit ribosomal RNA". The record is from RNAcentral. Lineage: Eukaryota; Viridiplantae; Streptophyta; Magnoliopsida; Poales; Poaceae.
AUGAUUGGUGAGAAGACGUCCUGGUCAAUCACCACAUCUGAUCAAUUUCUGUCUGUGGCGAGAAGAAGUGUGCGGGGAGUAGCACGGGCGGAGGUCAAUUGGCCGGAUCCGGAGCUCCAGUGCCUGAAUCGAGGAGCUGGAAGGCUGAGGCAGGAGGAGGAGCACAGGCUGCACUGCUGCUGCUGUUGGUCAGUGCGGGGAGGAGCACGGACGGAGGUCAAUUGGCCGGAUCCGGAGCUCCAGUGCCUGAAUCAAGGAGCUGGAAGGCUCAGGCAGGAGGAGGAGGAGCACGGGCGGCGCUGUUGCUGGUCGGUGCGGGGAGGAGCAUGGGCGGCGCGAAGGCCAGUAGUCGCGGGGGGCGCGACGGCCAGGAGUCGCGGGCGGCUGGAGGCUGUGGCGGACGGCGAGGGAGCUGCGUACGAGUUUGGGCUCUUGAUUGGAGCGGAGGAAGGCGGCCGACGAGGGAGCUGCGACCGGCGCGGACGGACGCCGGAGCUGCAGCAGUGGGAUGGAGCCUGGCGGAGGGGAGGAGCGAUGGAAAUAGAGAAAAGAGUAGAUGGGCCGGCCCAGCGCGAAGGGUGGAAGCUUGGCGCGCGCGGUAAUCCCCCAGGACGAGGCACAUCGAUGCAUCCACUGCUCCCCUAUAAGUACACGGUCUCCUGGUUUACAAGAGGCUGCUCGCUCAUCAUCGACCAUUCAUCCAUCCAUCGCUCCUGCACAUACAUACGCUCCAACACAACUAGCCUGCAACCACGCCGCUGGCCGUUCGUCUGCUCACCGUCGUCGCCGCCGUUCGUCCGCUCACCGUCAUCGUCGCCGCUGGUCGCCUGCUCGUCUUCGUCGUCGAUGUCGGUCGUCCGCUUGCCAUCGUCUACGCACUCGUCGUCGUUCGCCUGCUCGUCAUCGUCAUCCCCGCCGGUCGUCCGCUUGCUGUCGUCGUCUACUCGCCGUCCGCUCGUCGUCUACAACACUAGCCCCCGGCCGUCCGACAUCCACAAGCUACACAUACCGGCUGCUCAUCUGCAUCACCACUUCACAAGUAUGGAGGGCCAAGUGCAGCAGUUUGUGACCCUUCGCUUCGGUGACCUUUGGCUUAAUGUGCCAAUUGGUCCUAUCGUGACCUCACUAAGUGAAAGUUGGAAGACUGCUGCUGCAUCUCCAGUUGUACCAGAUCAAGAAGAAGUCACUUCUCCAUCAACGGAGGGGUUCACACCUGUUUUGUCAAAGUCUGCAAAGAGGAAAAUGAGGGCUGCUAGAAAGAGGGUUGCUCAGAGUUCUACAGGAAGGGUUACUCAUGCUCCAGUGUCAGUAACAAAAGGAAAGAUAGUUGAAGAAGAACCAUCCGACCGCGAGCAAUCCAAGGACAAGGGAAAGAAAAAGAUGGUAGAGACACUCAACUCCAAGCUACCUGAGAAAAGAGGUGGCGUUGCGGUCAUAUUGCCGUCAGCGUCAUCUUCAACAGGAAGGCCCACCAAUGCUCGGAAUAUACUUCGAGCCGAUGCUCCUGAGUUUGUCCCCUCACUGGCCCAUAAACCUAGUGAGGAACACUUGGGAAUAAUGCAAAAACGUCCUGUGGAAUGGAAGGGAGUGUGCCUUACAUCUGGUGACCUCAAAACAGGCCACAUAGAUCCAGCAUCUGCACCAUCAGUUCCUCUGUUUGAAGAAACACCCAUCUUACGAGAGUCCUUUGAAGGUUCGUUUGAUCCAGUGCGACAUCAACGGCGACAGAGAAAUGUCCGUCAAUCUUGGAUUGAUCUUCCAGCUGCCGUAGAUCAAGAGGCGGCGAGCCGACACUGUUCUCAUGUGAGCAAGUCCGUCAAGCGGAGAUGGAAAAACACUCGCCCAAAGAUCCAAGUUCGGAAUCCAGAUGACUCAUAUGUUGUUAAAUGCAUAUGUCAAGCAAUAAGGUCACAACUUCCCGGUGCAUCGAGAUCACAAAAUGAUGAGGGUGGUGCCAUCAUGCGACUGGCGGAGGCCCUGGCCCAACAGCCUGAGUACCAAGAAUUCAUUCAGCAACAUCCUGAACAUCAAGAGUAUGUGAACCAAGCUGCUCAUGUUCGUUCAAGAAGGGUGGCGUACAAAGAAAGAGAAAGGGCAGUACGAGCAAGGUCUGGGUCAAGCAGAGUCCAAGGGGCAGAACACGCUCCAUCAGAUGAGGAUAGUCGGACUAAAGUGAACAUGUGGCUAUCAAAUCCAUCAAAUGAGGUGGCCACGAGCUUGUCUCCAUGGCCCUCUCGUAAGCAGACCAAGAAUAAAUCAUUCGAGGUGUUCCAAGCAAUGCCAGUUGGUGUCAGGGCGGCGUUAGACAAGACCAGCGAAACAUCCUCCACAUCAAUACAUUUUAAGAGGAAGAAGGCACGCAAAACUGUCAUAGAAGGUCCUCAUCAUAAGACACGAAGCCAAAAGGGUUCAGAUUAUGAAGAACUUGGGUCCAACUGUGGUGGGUCUUAUAAUCCCCUAUCGGACAGUACCCCUUGUCCUUCUGAAAAUGAGAUAGAACUCCGCCAUAGUGCAGAGCAUACAGAACAAGUCCUAGCUGCGAAUGAAACUCGUUCGGUUGAAGAGCAAUUAGCCAACCUUAUGGCAGCACUUCAGCAAAAGGAAGAUGAGCUCGCAGCCCUUUGUAUUCAUAUGAGCAAUAACCAGAACAAAGGAAAUGAAGGAGAUGGUGGUGCAAGUGCUAGCAGCCAACAUGGAGGAGCAGGGCUUAACCUUGAGGCGAUCCAAAGGAUGAUCGCUGAGGGGGUAAAAUACAACCAACAAUGGAGCACUUCUCCUAAGGCGGUUUGUACAGACAUUGUCUGGGCCUGCCUUCACCUGGUACAACAAGCUACCUCCAAGCUCUGUAAAACGUGGGAACAAAUGCAAAACUCAUUCCUCGAGCGGUUCUAUAGCACGGAGAGGAUGGUGGGCAUAACUGAGUUGACCCAAACUGAACAAGGGUUCAACAAGAAGGCGGCUGACUUCAUAAAUAGAUGGAGAAACCUAAGUCUUCACUGCCCACAGCCCAUCACCGAGCCAGAAGCAGUGCGGAUGUGCAUGAACAAUCUCCGCUCAGAAGUGGCUGUCCAGUUACAAGGAGUGAGGCCCCUCACAUUUGAAGAAUUAGCUUCAAAAUCCAUGGAUAUAGAAAAUUUUAUGCAGCUUGUCGCUCGUCUAAUAAAAACGACGUUCAACAAGCCUACAGACAAAGGUGGUCAACGUGAAAAGUUGCCGAUGAAACCCAAGUCUGCACAAGCCAUGGAGACGACAGCGGUAAAACCUCAGUUUCAGCCCGGAAGGGCACCUAUAGGGAACCAAGGACAGCGAGAUGCUCAGGUGGCUAGGAGGCCAACUCUCAGUGAACGAAAAAACAGGGAGUAUUCUUUUCUUGUAGAAGAAAUUGAUGAUCUUUUCACUGGUUUAAAGGAAUUGAGUCUAAUAGAACUUCCUAGGCCCAAAAGACCAGAAGAAGCUUCAAAAUUUAAUGACCCAAAUUUCUGUCACUACCAUCGCAUUUUGGGCCAUACACUCAAAGAUUGCUUUGUUGUGAAGAAUAUCAUCCAGAAAAUGAUUGAUGAGGGGGCUAUUGAUGCGAAUCUCCUCAAAAGCAUGACAAAGGGAAAGAAAAAGGCUUCAGCAAAUGUCGCCACCCUCCAGGAUGACGCGGUGAGUUCUACGUCUUCAAAUAUGAAGGGUAUUUAUGAUGAUGCAGUACUAAUUUCCAAAUAUGGAUGUUCUCCUAUGAUAAUUCUGGGCCUUGCCAAAUCGCAAGAUCAGCAUAAAGGAGAGGCUUACAUUCCCUUCAGCAAUGGUGCAGCCCAAGGUUGGGGGCCACGGCGGUCAAAACACCGUGUACUACCCCCCGUGAUGGAAGAAGCUCCUCCUUUGCGCUUCGCACCGAAGAUAUAUCAGCACACCACGAAGCGCAUGAGAAUACCAAGUGAAGAAUUCAACGUUCUCACUAUUGGUGUGUUCGAGGAUGAUGGCGAGUCUAUAUGCUUCCCCGACGAAGAUCCAUUAGAAGUUGACCAGAAAGGAACCAAAAGCAAGGAUGCAGUUCCAAAUGAUUCGACGGACCCUGCAUGUAGGGUGCCAGUCAAGUAUGAUGUAAUCACACAUUUGAAGAAAAUACCAGCUAUGCUUUCCGUGUAUGAUGCUUUGUGUCUUUCAUCUGAUAUGCGUAAGGCUCUUGUCACAGCACUCACGUUUCCUGAAGACUACAGAGUAGAAGUAUCUCAAACCGAGGUAGAAGCAUCUGAAGUCCUAAAUAUGACGUUCACAGAUGAGGAUAUGUUGUUAGGCCCCAAGAAGCACAACAUACCUCUUCUCAUGUUCGGCGAAAUUGAUGUAUUGCCAAUAAAUCGCAUAAUGAUAGAUGGUGGGUCAGCUAUAAAUCUGCUACCAUUGCGUACGCUCAAAAAGAUUGGAUAUUCCAAGGGAGAUUUGAGCAAGUCUAACGUGGUUAUACAUGGAUUUAACCAAUCAGGGCAAGAAGCUAUGGGUACCAUUUCGUUGGUUUUAAAAUUGGAUACAUUAUCCACAUACGUGAAGUUUCACGUGAUUGAUGUGGCCACAUCAUAUAAUGCAUUGCUUGGACGCCCGUGGUUACAUGAGAAUCAAGUUGUGCCAUCCACAUUACAUCAGUGUAUGAAAUAUAUAGAUCGGACAGAUGAUACAGUCAGAAUAUUUGCUAAUAAGAAGCCAUUCACAAUAGCUGAAUCUUUCUAUGCCGAUGCAAAGUUCUACUUCGAGCCUGUUGAUAAGGUGCAAAAGCCAAAAUCCUGGAAAAUACCCAAGUCAAAUGUGGUAGAAAAGGAGGCUGCAGAAUCCUUGUCAAAGAAAAAGACCUAUCAAUAUAUACCAAGCAACCAAAGGAAGAAGGGUGACCCAAUAUUUCGUGUCAUAGACAAAUCCCAUGACAUGAAAGAUGAUGAAUCUUUACCCAUUUCUUUGUAUGAUAACAGGGUCUUGUACAUGAUGCAGCAAAUGGGUUAUGACAUCGUCACUGGCCCGUCCCUAUGUGAUGGCCGGGGACAGCUAGCACCGUUCGAAAAUGUGUUAUCUCAAGAACAACUCGAAGCUCUGCACGAAGAUCGUGUUUUAAAACAAAUGAAGCAUGGGUUAGGAUAUGAGGUUUGUAUGGCUUCGGCUGAGUAUACAGACAUGACGGAAGCAUCUCCACAAAUGGAGGAUGGCAACCAAUGCAAUGUGGAUGACUUGGAAGAAAUAAAUAUUGGGAGACUAGCUAAAUGGGCGAUGCUUUUGUCACAAUUUGACAUCACGUAUAUACCGCAAAAGGCCAUAAAAGGCCAAGCUUUGGCUAACUUCCUUGCGGCACAUCCGAUCCCAGAUGAUUUUCCUAUAGAUGAUGACUUUCCAAAUGAGGACGUAUUCACCACGACGGUUACCAAAUCAACAUGGAAAAUGUACUUCGAUGGUGCUUGCCGGCAAUCUGGGUCAGGCGCCGGAGUCGUUUUCAUUACACCUAAUGAAGGGGUGAUCCCAUAG